This 492-nucleotide ribosomal RNA is filed under the name uncultured bacterium. RNAcentral describes it as "partial 16S ribosomal RNA". It matches the Rfam family "Bacterial small subunit ribosomal RNA", at positions 29 to 507 of the family's 1533-position model. The record is from RNAcentral.
AGUGAACGCUGGCGGUAGGCCUAACACAUGCAAGUCGAACGGCAGCACAGUAAGAGCUUGCUCUUACGGGUGGCGAGUGGCGGACGGGUGAGGAAUACAUCGGAAUCUACUUUUUCGUGGGGGAUAACGUAGGGAAACUUACGCUAAUACCGCAUACGACCUACGGGUGAAAGCAGGGGAUCUUCGGACCUUGCGCGAUUGAAUGAGCCGAUGUCGGAUUAGCUAGUUGGCGGGGUAAAGGCCCACCAAGGCGACGAUCCGUAGCGGGUCUGAGAGGAUGGUCAGCCACACUGGAACUGAGACACGGUCCAGACUCCUACGGGAGGCAGCAGUGGGGAAUAUUGGACAAUGGGCGCAAGCCUGAUCCAGCCAUACCGCGUGGGUGAAGAAGGCCUUCAGGUUGUAAAGCCCUUUUGUUGGGAAAGAAAAGCAGCAGGUUAAUACCCCGCUGUUCUGACGGUACCCAAAGAAUAAGCACCGGCUAACUUCGUG